RNAcentral lists this ribosomal RNA (427 nucleotides) under uncultured bacterium. RNAcentral's name for it is "partial 16S ribosomal RNA". It matches the Rfam family "Bacterial small subunit ribosomal RNA", at positions 355 to 774 of the family's 1533-position model. The record is from RNAcentral.
UGGGGAAUAUUGCACAAUGGGCGCAAGCCUGAUGCAGCCAUGCCGCGUGUAUGAAGAAGGCCUUCGGGUUGUAAAGUACUUUCAGUCGGGAGGAAGGUGUCAAGGUUAAUAACCUUGGCAAUUGACGUUACCGACAGAAGAAGCACCGGCUAACUCCGUGCCAGCAGCCGCGGUAAUACGGAGGGGGCAAGCGUUAAUAGGAAUUACUGGGCGUAAAGCGCACGCAGGCGGUUGAUUGAGUCAGAUGUGAAAUCCCCGGGCUUAACCCGGGAAUUGCAUCUGAUACUGGUCAGCUAGAGUCUUGUAGAGGGGGGUAGAAUUCCAUGUGUAGCGGUGAAAUGCGUAGAGAUGUGGAGGAAUACCGGUGGCGAAGGCGGCCCCCUGGACAAAGACUGACGCUCAGGUGCGAAAGCGUGGGGAGCAAACA